CAGUCGCCGCGGUAAUACGAAGGGGGCUAGCGUUGUUCGGAUUUACUGGGCGUAAAGGGCGCGUAGGCAGACUGAUAAGUCAGGGGUGAAAUCCCAAGGCUCAACCUUGGAACUGCCUUUGAUACUGUUUGUCUUGAGUUCGAGAGAGGUAAGUGGAACUGCGAGUGUAGAGGUGAAAUUCGUAGAUAUUCGCAAGAACACCAGUGGCGAAGGCGGCUUACUGGCUCGAAACUGACGCUGAGGCGCGAAAGCGUGGGGAGCAAACAGGAUUAGAUACCCCGGUAGUCCCUGUCUCUUAUAC
Molecule: ribosomal RNA, 301 nt
Filed under: uncultured bacterium
Lineage: Bacteria
Description: partial 16S ribosomal RNA
Rfam family: Bacterial small subunit ribosomal RNA
Source: RNAcentral